Molecule: ribosomal RNA, 405 nt
Filed under: uncultured bacterium
Lineage: Bacteria
Description: bacterial SSU rRNA
Rfam family: Bacterial small subunit ribosomal RNA
Source: RNAcentral
UAGGGAAUCUUCCACAAUGGACGAAAGUCUGAUGGAGCAACACUGCGUGAAAGAUGAAGGUCGAAAGAUUGUAAAUUUCUUUUCUGAGGGAAAAAUUCUGAUUGUACCUCAGGAAUAAGCGACUGCUAACUACGUGCCAGCAGCAGCGGUAAUACGUAGGUCGCAAGCGUUAUCCGGAAUUAUUGGGCGUAAAGCGUCCGCAGGUGGCGAGUUAAGUUGGAUGUUAAAUAUCAUGGCCCAACCAUGAUGCCGCAUUCAAAACUGGCUUGCUUGAGAAAUGCAGAGGCAAGUGGAAUUCUGUGUGUAGGGGUAAAAUCCGUUGAUACACAGAGGAACACCAAAAGCGAAGGCAGCUUGCUGGGCAUUUUCUGACACUCAUGGACGAAAGCGUGGGUAGCAAACAGG